Molecule: ribosomal RNA, 481 nt
Filed under: uncultured bacterium
Lineage: Bacteria
Description: bacterial SSU rRNA
Rfam family: Bacterial small subunit ribosomal RNA
Source: RNAcentral
GAUGAACGCUAGCUACAGGCUUAACACAUGCAAGUCGAGGGGCAGCAUGAACAUAGCUUGCUAUGUUUGAUGGCGACCGGCGCACGGGUGCGUAACACGUAUCCAAUCUGCCCGUCACUCGGGGAUAGCCUUCUGAAAGGAAGAUUAAUACCCGAUGGCAUGCAUUUCCGGCAUCGGAGAUGCAUUAAAGAUUUAUCGGUAACGGAUGAGGAUGCGUACGAUUAGCUAGUUGGCGGGGUAACGGCUCACCAUGGCUACGAUACAUAGGGGGACUGAGAGGUUAACCCCCCACACUGGUACUGAGACACGGACCAGACUCCUACGGGAGGCAGCAGUGAGGAAUAUUGGUCAAUGGACGCAAGUCUGAACCAGCCAUGCCGCGUGCAGGAAGACGGCUCUAUGAGUUGUAAACUGCUUUUGUACAAGGGUAAACCCUGGGACGUGUCCCAGGCUGAAAGUACUGUACGAAUAAGGAUCGGCU